Molecule: long non-coding RNA, 2444 nt
Organism: Triticum aestivum (bread wheat)
Lineage: Eukaryota; Viridiplantae; Streptophyta; Magnoliopsida; Poales; Poaceae
Exons: 4
Source: RefSeq, a predicted model, not a curated record
GCGGUCGAUAGGAUGCGGGGGACUUGAACAGAGGAGGCGCUCGAGGGAGACCAAUCGCGCGAGGAGAUCGAGCGCUAGGAAAUCCAGCCGAGGCGAGCAAGGAGGCGCGCGAGUGGAUCUAGCGCCACAUGGGUUCAGCCGAUGCGCGCGAGGGGAGCCGGUCCAGUCGAUGAGGGGAUGCAGCGGACUCACAGGAUGCGGAUGAACAAGGGGCCGACCGAUCCAGCCGGCGCGGUCGAUCCGCGUGCGAAGUGGAAAGGGGGGACGUGGGUGAUGAUGGCCGGCCGGCGCCUCAUCUCCUGGAAACUGCUCGUAAUCAUACUUCAGUUUCUAUGCACACAUUCAUGGCGAUUGAUGUGCCAAUCCUUCCGGUGCCGAGAGUGGUGAUGUUCAUACUAGCUGUGCUCGAUUCAUUCCAUUUUGGAGCAUGUCACUGGAAUUGUUUUUGCUUAGCAGUUGCAUGCGCCCCAACGACAUUGGUCGCCAGCAUCAAGCUGCCAGGUAAUUCCUCACCUCCAGGCCACCGUUGCUCCGGACAAGUUCUGCUGCCCAAGUGUGAGACAUUCCUCAACGCCUCUCUGCUCCAAUCGCUUAUCAAAUUUGAAGUUGCCCUGAGACAAAUUGGAAGAUGGAAGGAAGUUAUGUGCUCUCAGACAUCCCUCAGUUUAGCACGAACACAAUUUUUAUAUGUGUAUCAUUCACACCAUUGUAUUAUUAAUUAUUUUGUUGUCAAUAGGGGGCAAUAAUAUGGAGGACUAUGAUGCAGGAGGCAUCCCUGGAGAGUGGAGAUGCAUGAGGAAGCAUUGAUACAGUGAGAGAUAAGACCUCAACUAGGAUCAUAUUGGUUUUGGAAAAGGGUUCCUGCUGCUGCUGGUGCAAGAUCAAUGUUACGAAGUGGUUCCGUUACCAAAUGCAGUGACAAAAUUGUCCGCAGUGGAGUUGAGGAAGAGGCGGGACGAGUGCAAGUAGUGGUGGGUUAAGACAGUACCGACUGAUGUUUCGCCAGCUCAAGGCCAUCUCCCGGCGAUGUCCUCCAUAACUAGGAUCCACUCAUUGCCACCUAGGCAUCUACCUCUGCUGCGAACAAUGAUAUGCAUAAUCACCAUUUUGGGUCUGUUCAGUUUUCUGCAUGGUAAUAAUUUUAUUACUAAAACAUGGAGUAUUUGGUUGCAUUCUAUGUAUUUGUUUUUGGUAGGAAAGCUCUGGUAGAUGUGGUCCAUUCCGUACUUAACAUCGUAUAAAUGAUUCUAUAAUUUUAUCCUGAUUAACCAACUGUUGAGGAGUUCAACAUGGUUUGUUAGAUUUCUGAAGAAACAUGUCAGAUGACUAGCUUUGAGAUUACGAAACAUAAACAAUUGGUACUUCUGUAUGUUAAGCUAGCUCCAAGUGUAGGUGUUAUGUCAUCUCAUGCCAUGACAUCCAAUCUUUGUUAACUUAGGUGAUGUUAUUGUCCACAAUGGUGAGAUUUGUUUCAUCUUUCAGUCUAUUAUUUAGUUCGCCAAAGUGCAGGGACUUCGCCCAACAACUUCAUAUGGGAUAGGUACAAUACAAUUGCAACUUGAAAUCAGUAAGACUACCAUUGUCUUCGGAUGGUGCAUGACCAUGAUCAUUUGUUUGUGCUUCAAAUUACUACUUUCAUUCUCUUCUUAUUAUUUACUUUUUUGUGUAAUUGAAUUUUUCUAGGUCUGGGUUAGAUUAAAUAUCUUGGUGCUGAUGAGGUCAUCGUAGAAAGAAGAAUGUCAAUAGGUUUGCUAACCUGCAUUUCCCACGUUGUUGUCCUAAAACACUUCUGUUUUUUUGUAGGGUCUUCAACACUAAUGUUACUUGCCUAACCCAUCCAAGCCCUAUAUAUGUAUUUGUAUACUAAUUUGUUGGAAACAAGUAGUAUUCUCAUUUGAGAAAGUAAACAUUUAGCAAAUUUAAUACUUCGUGUCUCCAUAUAUUUGCGUAAGUUCCUGUCAUCCUGUUGGGGAAACAGAUGGGUCCGGCAACGCGCGGCAUUAUAUCUCUGCAUUGAUUCUUUUCACUUAAAUCUUUCUAACCGCCACUCCUUGCAUAUUGACAUGUCCAUUGGUAUAAAAAUUAGUGACAUCAACUAAUCAAUAAUAAUAUCAGAUAUUUCAGAUAACAAGACAGAAAUGAAUGGGUGCAAGGAGAUGGAAAACAAGAUCAUUGACCAGAUCAAGGGUCAAUGAUCUACAAGUCCAUACAAGUCAUCUCAAACAUCAUGACAUCAGUACAACAAGCGUAGUCCUGGAUCCAACAAAUGGACUCGGAUCUUGAUACACAUAAUACUAAGAACAUGGCUUACUUGACGAAGAUGACAGUUACGUUAAAUGAUGAAUAUUUGGUCUGCCUACAUGAAUAUUUGGUUUGCCUACAUGAUGGUUCCGAAGUUUUUCACUGGAAAUAGGAAUUCAGUUCUUCCAUGUCUAUAUAUUUGU